This 2925-nucleotide ribosomal RNA is filed under the name Escherichia coli. RNAcentral describes it as "bacterial LSU rRNA". It matches the Rfam family "Bacterial large subunit ribosomal RNA". The record is from RNAcentral. Lineage: Bacteria; Pseudomonadati; Pseudomonadota; Gammaproteobacteria; Enterobacterales; Enterobacteriaceae.
GGGUUGUGAGGUUAAGCGACUAAGCGUACACGGUGGAUGCCCUGGCAGUCAGAGGCGAUGAAGGACGUGCUAAUCUGCGAUAAGCGUCGGUGAGGUGAUAUGAACCGUUAUAACCGGCGAUUUCCGAAUGGGGAAACCCAGUGUGUUUCGACACACUAUCAUUAACUGAAUCCAUAGGUUAAUGAGGCGAACCGGGGGAACUGAAACAUCUAAGUACCCCGAGGAAAAGAAAUCAACCGAGAUUCCCCCAGUAGCGGCGAGCGAACGGGGAGGAGCCCAGAGCCUGAAUCAGUGUGUGUGUUAGUGGAAGCGUCUGGAAAGGCGUGCGAUACAGGGUGACAGCCCCGUACACAAAAAUGCACAUAUUGUGAGCUCGAUGAGUAGGGCGGGACACGUGGUAUCCUGUCUGAAUAUGGGGGGACCAUCCUCCAAGGCUAAAUACUCCUGACUGACCGAUAGUGAACCAGUACCGUGAGGGAAAGGCGAAAAGAACCCCGGCGAGGGGAGUGAAAAAGAACCUGAAACCGUGUACGUACAAGCAGUGGGAGCCUCUUAAUGGGGUGACUGCGUACCUUUUGUAUAAUGGGUCAGCGACUUAUAUUCUGUAGCAAGGUUAACCGAAUAGGGGAGCCGAAGGGAAACCGAGUCUUAACUGGGCGUUAAGUUGCAGGGUAUAGACCCGAAACCCGGUGAUCUAGCCAUGGGCAGGUUGAAGGUUGGGUAACACUAACUGGAGGACCGAACCGACUAAUGUUGAAAAAUUAGCGGAUGACUUGUGGCUGGGGGUGAAAGGCCAAUCAAACCGGGAGAUAGCUGGUUCUCCCCGAAAGCUAUUUAGGUAGCGCCUCGUGAAUUCAUCUCCGGGGGUAGAGCACUGUUUCGGCAAGGGGGUCAUCCCGACUUACCAACCCGAUGCAAACUGCGAAUACCGGAGAAUGUUAUCACGGGAGACACACGGCGGGUGCUAACGUCCGUCGUGAAGAGGGAAACAACCCAGACCGCCAGCUAAGGUCCCAAAGUCAUGGUUAAGUGGGAAACGAUGUGGGAAGGCCCAGACAGCCAGGAUGUUGGCUUAGAAGCAGCCAUCAUUUAAAGAAAGCGUAAUAGCUCACUGGUCGAGUCGGCCUGCGCGGAAGAUGUAACGGGGCUAAACCAUGCACCGAAGCUGCGGCAGCGACACUAUGUGUUGUUGGGUAGGGGAGCGUUCUGUAAGCCUGUGAAGGUGGCCUGUGAGGGUUGCUGGAGGUAUCAGAAGUGCGAAUGCUGACAUAAGUAACGAUAAAGCGGGUGAAAAGCCCGCUCGCCGGAAGACCAAGGGUUCCUGUCCAACGUUAAUCGGGGCAGGGUGAGUCGACCCCUAAGGCGAGGCCGAAAGGCGUAGUCGAUGGGAAACAGGUUAAUAUUCCUGUACUUGGUGUUACUGCGAAGGGGGGACGGAGAAGGCUAUGUUGGCCGGGCGACGGUUGUCCCGGUUUAAGCGUGUAGGCUGGUUUUCCAGGCAAAUCCGGAAAACCAAGGCUGAGGCGUGAUGACGAAGCACUACGGUGCUGAAGCGACAAAUGCCCUGCUUCCAGGAAAAGCCUCUAAGCAUCAGGUAACAUCAAAUCGUACCCCAAACCGACACAGGUGGUCAGGUAGAGAAUACCAAGGCGCUUGAGAGAACUCGGGUGAAGGAACUAGGCAAAAUGGUGCCGUAACUUCGGGAGAAGGCACGCUGAUAUGUAGGUGAAGCGACUUGCUCGUGGAGCUGAAAUCAGUCGAAGAUACCAGCUGGCUGCAACUGUUUAUUAAAAACACAGCACUGUGCAAACACGAAAGUGGACGUAUACGGUGUGACGCCUGCCCGGUGCCGGAAGGUUAAUUGAUGGGGUUAGCGGUAACGCGAAGCUCUUGAUCGAAGCCCCGGUAAACGGCGGCCGUAACUAUAACGGUCCUAAGGUAGCGAAAUUCCUUGUCGGGUAAGUUCCGACCUGCACGAAUGGCGUAAUGAUGGCCAGGCUGUCUCCACCCGAGACUCAGUGAAAUUGAACUCGCUGUGAAGAUGCAGUGUACCCGCGGCAAGACGGAAAGACCCCGUGAACCUUUACUAUAGCUUGACACUGAACAUUGAGCCUUGAUGUGUAGGAUAGGUGGGAGGCUUUGAAGUGUGGACGCCAGUCUGCAUGGAGCCGACCUUGAAAUACCACCCUUUAAUGUUUGAUGUUCUAACGUUAGCCCGUAAUCCGGGUUGCGGACAGUGUCUGGUGGGUAGUUUGACUGGGGCGGUCUCCUCCUAAAGAGUAACGGAGGAGCACGAAGGUUGGCUAAUCCUGGUCGGACAUCAGGAGGUUAGUGCAAUGGCAUAAGCCAGCUUGACUGCGAGCGUGACGGCGCGAGCAGGUGCGAAAGCAGGUCAUAGUGAUCCGGUGGUUCUGAAUGGAAGGGCCAUCGCUCAACGGAUAAAAGGUACUCCGGGGAUAACAGGCUGAUACCGCCCAAGAGUUCAUAUCGACGGCGGUGUUUGGCACCUCGAUGUCGGCUCAUCACAUCCUGGGGCUGAAGUAGGUCCCAAGGGUAUGGCUGUUCGCCAUUUAAAGUGGUACGCGAGCUGGGUUUAGAACGUCGUGAGACAGUUCGGUCCCUAUCUGCCGUGGGCGCUGGAGAACUGAGGGGGGCUGCUCCUAGUACGAGAGGACCGGAGUGGACGCAUCACUGGUGUUCGGGUUGUCAUGCCAAUGGCACUGCCCGGUAGCUAAAUGCGGAAGAGAUAAGUGCUGAAAGCAUCUAAGCACGAAACUUGCCCCGAGAUGAGUUCUCCCUGAGACUUAGAGUCUCCUGAAGGAACGUUGAAGACGACGACGUUGAUAGGCCGGGUGUGUAAGCGCAGCGAUGCGUUGAGCUAACCGGUACUAAUGAACCGUGAGGCUUAACCUUACAACGCCGAAG